RNAcentral lists this ribosomal RNA (428 nucleotides) under uncultured soil bacterium. RNAcentral describes it as "bacterial SSU rRNA". It matches the Rfam family "Bacterial small subunit ribosomal RNA", at positions 26 to 445 of the family's 1533-position model. The record is from RNAcentral.
AGAGUGAACGCUGGCGGCGUGCUUAACACAUGCAAGUCGAGCGAGAUUUGACAGCACACCGUCAAGUCUAGCGGCAGACGGGUGAGUAAUACUUGGGCAAUCUGCCCUUGAGUGGAGGACAACCUGCCGAAAGGCGGGCUAAUACUCCAUAAGACCACAGGGAUGCAUAUUCUAGAGGUCAAAGCUCCGCAAGGGGCGCUUGAGGAGGAGUCCGAGUCCUAUCAUGGUAGUUGGCGGGGUAAUGGCCACCAAGCCGUUGACGGGUAGCCGGCCUGAAAGGGCAACCGGCCACACUGGCACUGAGACACGGGCCAGACUCCUACGGGAGGCGAGCAGGUGGGAAUUUGGACAAGUGGGGCAACCGUGAUCGAGCGACGCCGCGUGAAGGAUGAAGGUCUUCGGAGUUAGUAAACUUCGUUUAGGAGGAU